RNAcentral lists this long non-coding RNA (229 nucleotides) under Elaeis guineensis (African oil palm). Its description in RNAcentral is "long non-coding RNA (EGUI_LNC029938)". The record is from RNAcentral. Lineage: Eukaryota; Viridiplantae; Streptophyta; Magnoliopsida; Arecales; Arecaceae.
GAUGUCUCUUAGUUUUUUGAUGUUGAUUUUUCAGUCCUCAAGAUGUCUUUUGAUUUUUUGAUGUUGACUUCUUCUUCAAAGAUUGAUUUCUUGGAACUUGGUUGGUCAUAAAUAAGAUUUUGAGAUCCUUGACUUGCCACUACAUCACUAUAAUAUCUAUAAAAAGAGCACAACAAUCCCAUCUUUAGAUUUGAAAGAUUAAUUUAUACAGAGCUUGUAAAACGGGCCA